Molecule: long non-coding RNA, 358 nt
Filed under: Mytilus galloprovincialis (Mediterranean mussel)
Lineage: Eukaryota; Metazoa; Mollusca; Bivalvia; Mytilida; Mytilidae
Source: RNAcentral
UUGCAGCAUGGUAUAUUUUACAGUAUUACAUUGUGUUGGCAAACUUAACAACAAUUAGAUAGUAGGAUCAGAGGUAAUAAGUACAAAUUGGGUUAAAUUCAUAUUCAGUAGGUAUAAUAAAAUUCAAAGCAUCAUCAAAUAGGAAGUUACUGUUCAAAAACCCAUCUGAAAAUGGCUUAAUGGUAUAACUAAACACUGUAAAGUGGAAAGCAAUUAACUUUCAUCCUGUCAUACUCACAAACAAGUAAUACCUAACAAUCAAUGGGACCAAUUGACAAAUCCUGAGAAAAAACAUAUAUACAUUGGAAUUAGACUAACUGACAACAAAAACAUACCCAUAGCAUUGGAAAAUUUUGGU